AUGACUAUAAAUCCCAGCACGAGAGCUUCGCGGGUGUCUCAAACGGAACACCGGAACGCCACCGGGCCGGAGAGAUCCAGCCCCCGCCGAUCCAUGGCUCCCGCGGCGGCGCGGCUCCUCUUCCUCACCCUCGCCGUCGCCUCCUCCCUCGCCGUGGGCGCGGAGGCCCUCCGGUCGCUGGGCGUCGGCGACGGGGCCACCGCGCAGGGGGACUACGCCGUGGAGCUCGACGCCACCAGCUUCGACGCCUUCCUCACGGCAUCGCGAGAGUCCUUCGCCGUCGUCGAGUUCUUCGCCCACUGGUGUCCAGCUUGCAGAAACUACAAGUUUCUUCCUUACCUGCAGCCCCAUUAUGAGAAGGUUGCAAAACUUUUCAACGGUCCAGAUGCUGCACAUCCUGGGAGAGUACUGAUGGCUAGGAUUGAUUGUGCAUCAAAGCACAGCUCUUUUACUUUGGAUGACAAAAAGUAUGAGAACGAAAAUAUGCUUCAAAACAAUGCUUCAUAUCCUAAACAGGUUGUUCAAGCAAUUUACGAUGUUGCGGAAGCAACAGCUCAUGUAUUACAGAAAAAUUUGGAGCACAAGGUUCUACUUAAAUGA
RNAcentral lists this ribosomal RNA (600 nucleotides) under Triticum aestivum (bread wheat). RNAcentral describes it as "partial small subunit ribosomal RNA". Lineage: Eukaryota; Viridiplantae; Streptophyta; Magnoliopsida; Poales; Poaceae. The record is from RNAcentral.